This 253-nucleotide ribosomal RNA is filed under the name uncultured bacterium. RNAcentral describes it as "partial 16S ribosomal RNA". It matches the Rfam family "Bacterial small subunit ribosomal RNA", at positions 524 to 776 of the family's 1533-position model. The record is from RNAcentral.
CACGUAAGUUGCGAGCGUUGUUCGGAAUUAUUGGGCGUAAAGGGCAUGUAGGCGGUUCUGCAAGUCUGGUGUGAAAUACCGGGGCUCAACCCCGGAACUGCGUUGGAAACUGCGGAACUGGAGUCGCUGAGGGGCAGCCAGAAUUCCAGGUGUAGGGGUGAAAUCUGUAGAUAUCUGGAAGAAUACCAAUGGCGAAGGCAGGCUGCCAGCAGAUGACUGACGCUGAGGUGCGAAGGUGCGGGGAGCAAACAGG